UGGGGAAUUUUUCCGCAAUGGGCGAAAGCCUGACGGAGCAAUGCCGCGUGGAGGUGGAAGGCCUACGGGUCGUCAACUUCUUUUCUCGGAGAAGAAACAAUGACGGUAUCUGAGGAAUAAGCAUCGGCUAACUCUGUGCCAG
This 142-nucleotide ribosomal RNA is filed under the name uncultured bacterium. RNAcentral describes it as "partial 16S rRNA". It matches the Rfam family "Bacterial small subunit ribosomal RNA", at positions 355 to 511 of the family's 1533-position model. The record is from RNAcentral.